RNAcentral lists this ribosomal RNA (454 nucleotides) under uncultured bacterium. RNAcentral describes it as "partial 16S ribosomal RNA". It matches the Rfam family "Bacterial small subunit ribosomal RNA", at positions 28 to 507 of the family's 1533-position model. The record is from RNAcentral.
GAUGAACGCUGACAGAAUGCUUAACACAUGCAAGUCAACUUGAACUUCGGUGUGUUUGGCGGACGGGUGAGUAACGCGUAAAGAACUUGCCUCACAGAUAGGGACAACAUUUGUAAACGUAUGCUAAUACCUGAUAUUAUGAUUAUAUGUCAUCGUAUAAUUAUGAAAGCUAUAUGCGCUGUGAGAGAGCUUUGCGUCCCAUUAGCUAGUUGGAGGGGUAACGGCUCACCAAGGCGAUGAUGGGUAGCCGGCCUGAGAGGGUGCUCGGCAAAAAGGGAACUGAGACACGGCCAUUACUCCUACGGGAGGAAGCAGUGGGGAAUAUUGGACAAUGGACCAAGAGUCUGAUCGAGAAAUUCUGUGUGGAAGAUGAAGUUUUUCGGAAUGUAAAGUGUUUUCAGUUGGGAAGAAAAAAAUGACGGUACCAACAGAAGAAGUGACGGCUAAAUACGUG